Prunus mume (Japanese apricot) is the source of this 1719-nucleotide non-coding RNA. Lineage: Eukaryota; Viridiplantae; Streptophyta; Magnoliopsida; Rosales; Rosaceae. The record is from RefSeq and is a predicted model, not a curated record.
UCCCCCAUGGCUGGAAGAACAUCCCUCUCUCUCCCUCCCUUUGAAAAUCAAAACCCUUAACUCUCUGAAUCUCCCUCCCAUCUGUUUCUUCUUAGUCUGUUGAACAAAUCUGUAAUUGUUCUCUGUGGUUGUCGUCACCUAGCUCGCCGACGAAGGUCACCAUUUGCGACCCAUCUUGAGUCCCUUGGUUGUCGUCGUCACUGAGCUCUGCCUCCACUCUCAUAUCUCUAUUACAUAUCUGAAGCACCAUCUCCACUCGUGCCAUCCAGGUAAUUGAACUCGUCGAGAUCGCCAUCUCCCUCUCGCUGUCUAGGUCACCGAGCCCGCGCCGUCCAUCUCAUCGAGCUCGCCGAGCUCGCCAUGUCCCUAGUGGAUGAGAAGCGUGAGAAGAUGCUUCAAAUCUUUUACGACUCUCAAGAUUUCUUCCUUUGAUGUCAGCUAAAGGAGCUUGAGAAGUCAGGCCCAAAGAAAGCUUAGGAAUGUGUAUAGCAGACUUGAAUCUGAUCUCCAAAGCAGUAAGAAGCGUCAUGCAGAACUUGUUGAACAGUGUAAUGCCCUGAAGAAGGGAUAAACUGUUGAUUUUACGUUAGAGAGCAGAAGCACUUAAUAAUCACUUGGCUGCUGUCCAGCGAGACCAUGAAGUCAGAUCUCAAAUAGAAGAAGAAAAAUAAGAAUUGAUGGAGCUUAUGAAGAUGCUAAAAGAAAGAAAAAAUCUCUACAAGAAGAAAAACUUCGACAAGACAAGAACGAGCCAAAGCAGAGGCUGAGGUCUUUUUGUUUGGCCUUUUUAUAUCAUUAUUGUUUUGUUGGUAAGUUUCUAGAUAUGGUGUGCAUGCAAUGGCCUCAUUGUGGUAUUGCUUUCAAUAUUCUUUGUUGAUGUGUCGGAAAGGUUUUUUUUGCAUUUCAAGUAAAAGCUGUUCCAGUGAACUUUGAGUAACUUGGUUAAUAACCAGGGUUCCACCCCCAACUUGCUCAUUGUAUAUGCUUUUCAUUGCAUUUGUCUUACAUGCUCGACUACUAACCUAUGCUAUCUCAGUUAAUCAUGGUUAACCAUUUCUACUCAUUUGCGAUGCAAAAUUUUUCUUUGGUUGAAUUCGUGUUGAAUUCCUCUUUAGGCAUGUAUCCGAUAUCCCAUAACUGGUUCCCACUUCCCAGGCAGGUAUUUCUCCUAUAAAUGAGAAAUAAAAGAACUUUCUUGCACCUCUUUCUUUUCAUGGGCUUUUCAGUUGUUUCUUUCUAGAAGUUUUACACCAUAUGAUACAUGAACUGGGCAAUUUAAUGGCAGGUAAUAUACUCAAGGCAGCACAAAGUGCUCUGAAUCUAGAGCAGGGGAGGCUACAAAAGCUUAAACAGUUUGAUGACGAAAACCAGACACUGAGAUUACGCUCCAUUGCGGUCUGCUAGCACCCAAACAUUAAGCCUUGAAGGCUCCAUUGCGGUCUCCUUUUCUUUUUGUUAGGAUUUGAGGAAGUAUGAGAGGCAAAUUUCUAAGUUGGUUUAGCAGAUUACAGGUCUUUCUGACACCACCAACUUGGAAAAUGUGCAAGAAGGCAGAGCUAAGUCAACCCAAGAAUAAAUUGAUGAAGUUAAGAUCAAAUUAGUAGAAUUUGUGAGCUUCAUUAUUUCUAAUUGUAGGUAGGAGGUAUGCAUGCAAUGGAAUAAAGAUUGGCUGACCAUGUUAUAACUAUUGAGUCUUCAAGUUUUAUGAAAGAAAUCAUU